Molecule: long non-coding RNA, 3029 nt
Organism: Mauremys reevesii (Reeves's turtle)
Lineage: Eukaryota; Metazoa; Chordata; Testudines; Geoemydidae
Exons: 6
Source: RefSeq, a predicted model, not a curated record
ACUUCGGCAAGUCUCCUUCUCGAGGUCUCUCUCUGAGGACUGAGUAUUAGGGUUCACAUACGUGAGCGCGAGGAGGAACCUCUUUUGAGUUUUCUCCUUUCUUUUAACUGAUUUUACUAGAAAACAGACGUCCCUGUUUAGACGCCAGUCGAUCGUCCAGUGUCAUCACCCUGCCUGCUGGCUGGGCAGAGUAACUCCUCAGGUCACCACCCUCUCCACCCUGCCUUGGGCUUGGAGAGUGAGGAGGAGGGCAAGGGACAUCUGGCAACCCUGAACAUCCGCCAUCCAUCGCUCCAUCACCUAGAGCAAGGCUGACCAUCCAUGAGGCCGAAGACCUGUGGUGUUGGGACUGGCACCAGGACAGCUGGCUCCUGGGUUACAGGAACACAACCAGGGUGGGGGAGGUCUUUAGAAAGUUCUUCUCAGAGGAGUAGAGAAGAUUCUUCCUCCGGACAACAGUGCUGGCCAUUCACGACCCCCUGCUGCGUGUCAGCCAGGCUGGGCUGCUCCUUGCCUACUCCGUCCUGGGGGAAGCCCAGCAGCUGAUGGGGGACAAACAGGAGGACAUCACAGCCAAUGUGAUGCACCAGCUCCACAUCAUCCGGCACUUGCGCCGGAUGCCCGAGGCACUGCAGGGGCUGUGCCUCUGAGGCCACCAGCAGCUCCCGCUUCCUGCUGCAGGUACUGCUCUGGCUCCCUGUAAAUGGGGAGCUAGUGGAAGAGGAAAUGGAGCACCCAGCACUCACAGAAACUUUCUCCCCUCUCUAUGGAGCAGGGUCCUUCCCUCUGCCCCCCAAAUUCCUUCAUCUCACACCCACUCCCCUCCCUCCUUUCCUUGGUCUACUCCCAUCCCAUUCCCCCUGAUCCCAGGCAGAGCUCUCCCUGCCCCAUAUGGUGCAGAAGGGCUCUUGUGUCAGGCCACACCCCUAGCCCCACUGAAGCUUGGAAAGCUCCAUUUUUGAGGAGGUAGGGGUGGGACAGAGGCUCAGGACUAGCUUCACCUCCUGCCCUUUAUUCUCCCCUUGGCCCUUCUAUGGGGUCUCUGAGUGUAAAAUGAAUAGGAGCCUCCUUCCCAGCUGUCUUCCAGGACCUGGGAUCUGUCACAGCCUCCCAGACGGGUGCAUCCUGCAGCUGAGCCACCUCCAGGAGCAGUGGGGACAGAUCACCUUGUCCCAUCAAAGCAAGCAAUGCUGGGUCUCAAAGAGGCUUAGAUGGAAGACCCCGCUCCCUCAUGGAGGAAGGAGGCUCCCCAGAGAUGUCCUCGAACCUGCACUCCUGAGAGCGUUUCCAGCUCCACUUCCUGCAGCAGGGCAAAUGAACCCUUCAGCUCCCAAAAUCCCAUCUCUUUGACCUCCUUCCGCUGAGCAGUGGGGUUUCUCCAGCCCCCUCACCACACCUGUCAGCCUCUGAAUGAUGAAGGGCCUGAAUGUCAGAGUCACCAGAACAAGCAAACUCCAGUUCCAGGCAGUGGAGCCUGUGUGUAUUCAGCCCCUCUGGAAACCAGGUCUGAAAUGGGGAGCAAAGACCCCAGCUCAGGAACAGUCGGAGUGAGCAGAGCAGGCCUGUAACAGGGUGCUUUCCCCUGGGCUGCACAGCCUGGGGUCUAGCCAAGAUGAUUACAGAAUGAGCCCUAACUGAGAGGCACCAUGUACCUCCCCCUGAAGAGCCAGACUUCAGUGGUGAUACAGCCCAGCUGGGGUAUCAACUGGAAUGAGAACGAGGUAGGAAGUUCAGAGCAGCAAGGAAAGCCUAGAGGGGAACUUGAGAAGAGAGAUAGGAAGUGCCCAGGGAAAACUGCAGCAAAGAGAAAGGAGCAGACCAAGUUGUUGGGAACAGGGCCCUGGGCUGCUACCGAUGUGAGGGUGGGACUGGGUUCCCCUACUGGCCCCAAAGAAGGGGGCAUACACACACCCAUAGAGGGUUACCAAGCCCAGCAAGGGGUACAGGCUGAGCAAGAGCCCCAGCAAUGGCAGAAGGACUUCUUUCUGUCGAAAGACCUCUUUGGACUUUUAGUGUGAGACAAGCUGGGCCCCAGAAGGGUGAACUAAAAAGGUGGUCACCUGGCGGAGGGCUAAGUUACCAGGCAGAGAAACUGCCAUAGUGCUGGAGCGACCAUGGAUGGGGGAUGCUAGCCCAGCAAGAGGGCUGUGCUGCCAUGCCUGGCUGCCAGGGGGGCACGUAACGAUGAGUAGAUUCAUUUAUGAUCGGCAUAGUCAGGAGGAUUGAUUUGACUGUAUUCAGUAAGGACCAGUAAGGAGGUUUUGGAACAAAUUGAUAAAUUAAACAGGAACAAGUCACCAGAACUAGAUGGUAUUCACCCAAGAGUUCUAAAGAAACUCAAAUGUGAGAUUGCAGGACUACUAACUAACUGUGGUAUGUGACCUAUCCUUUAAAUCAGCUUCUGUACCAGAUGACUGGAGGUUAGCUAAUAUGACACCAAUGUUUAAAAAAGGCUCCAGAGACGCUCUCAGCAAUUACAGGCCACUAAGGCUAACUUCAGUACCAGGCAAAUUGGGUGAAAUUAUAGUAAAGAGCAGAAUUAUUAGACACAUAGAUAAACACAAUUUGUUGGGGAAGAGUGAACAUGGUUUUUGUAAAGGGAAAUUAUGCCUCACGAAUCAACAAGCAUUUGGAUAAAGGUGAUCCAGUGGAUAUAGUGUACUUAGAUUUUCAGAGAGCCUUUGACAAGGUCCCUCACCAAAGGCUCUGAAGCAAAAUGGGAUAAAAUGGAAGGUCCUCUCUGGGAUAGGUAACUGGUUAAAAGGCACGAAAGAAAGUGUCCGACUAAAAGGUCAAUUUUCAGAAUGGAGAGAGGUAAAUAGUGGUGUCCCUCAGGCAUCUGUACUAGGACCAGUACUGUUCUGGAAAAAGGAGUAAACAGUGAGGUGGCAACAUCUGCAGAUGAUACAAACCAACUCAAGUGAGUUAAGUCCAAAAGAGACUGCAAAGUGUGACAAAGGGAGCUCACCACACUGGGUGACUGGGCAGCAAAAUGGCAGAUGAAAUUCAAUUCUGAUAAAUGCAAAGAA